Molecule: transfer RNA, 85 nt
Filed under: Myxococcales bacterium
Lineage: Bacteria; Pseudomonadati; Myxococcota; Myxococcia; Myxococcales
Description: tRNA-Leu
Rfam family: tRNA
About the family: Transfer RNA (tRNA) molecules are approximately 80 nucleotides in length.
Source: RNAcentral
GCCGGGGUGGCGGAAUAGGUAGACGCAAGGGACUUAAAAUCCCUCGGGGCCACGCCCCGUGCCGGUUCGAUGCCGGCCCUCGGCA